CUGCGCCACUAGUGGUGGUCGCGUUUAUUGGGCCUAAAGCGUCCGUAGCCGGAUUAGUAACUCUUUUGUGAAAUUGUUGGUCUUAAGCUAACAACGUGCAGGAGAAACUGCUAAUCUAGGGACCGGAGAGAAGUCAGAAGUAUGCCAGGGGGAGCGGUAAAAUGCUAUAAUCCUUGGUAGACUACCAGUGGCGAAGGCGUCUGACUAGAACGGAUCUGACGGUGAGGGACGAAAGCCAGGGGAGCAAUCCGGAUUAGAUACCCGAGUAGUCC
This 272-nucleotide ribosomal RNA is filed under the name uncultured archaeon. RNAcentral describes it as "partial 16S ribosomal RNA". It matches the Rfam family "Archaeal small subunit ribosomal RNA", at positions 477 to 747 of the family's 1478-position model. The record is from RNAcentral.